CUAAGGCUUCAGUGUGUGUCAAGCUGGGACUCACGUUAAGUCUGGAGUCACUCUGUCUGGAUCGUUUUUCUGCCAGGAGAUCUUUGACCGUGUGCUUCACUCUCACGCCUUGGUAUACUCGUUUGCUGUAAUCUCCUGGGACUUAAGCAAAGAGGAUAGUCAGUCAGAUCUAGAUGGGGUAGUAAGGUCAACCUCCCAGGGAUGUACUCAGGGUUAAUAAUCUUGAUGCCGUUUUCCCAUUCAAAUAGUAGAGAUCUGGAAUAUGAAGUGGCUUCAGUAGAGUCCAAACUCUGGUCCUUGAUGGAAACUCACCCAGGCUCUGUAUAAGUAAAACAAGAAACACUCUGUGUCUUCUGCACAAGAGCUCUUUAAAAUGUCCUCUUUUUUUCUACUUUGAUUUGUCAAGAUUUACUCCAGCAAGAUUGAUAACUUAGGUUUUAAUCACCAGAUAAGGGAUUGGAUAGAAAUUGAAAUAAUGAUUCUUAUUACAUGUAGAAGAAGUUAGAUUUGCAUGACUCAGGUCACAGGCUGUUUGGCUGUCCCACAUCUUGGUACCUGAUGAAGGAGCAGGUCAACUGGAUGAUCAUUCCUAAGAGGAAAGUCAUUUAUUUACUACACUAAAAGAGUGUGCUUUGUUUUUAAAAAUAUGGUGACAUGA
RNAcentral lists this long non-coding RNA (658 nucleotides) under Marmota monax (woodchuck). Lineage: Eukaryota; Metazoa; Chordata; Mammalia; Rodentia; Sciuridae. The record is from RNAcentral.